RNAcentral lists this ribosomal RNA (491 nucleotides) under uncultured bacterium. RNAcentral's name for it is "partial 16S ribosomal RNA". It matches the Rfam family "Bacterial small subunit ribosomal RNA", at positions 28 to 506 of the family's 1533-position model. The record is from RNAcentral.
GAUGAACGCUAGCUACAGGCUUAACACAUGCAAGUCGAGGGGAAACGGCAUUAAGUGCUUGCACUUUUUGGACGUCGACCGGCGCACGGGUGAGUAACGCGUAUCCAACCUUCCCAUGACUAAGGGAUAACCUGCCGAAAGGCAGACUAAUACCUUAUGGUCUUCACUGACGGCAUCAGAUGUGAAGUAAAGAUUUAUCGGUUAUGGAUGGGGAUGCGUCUGAUUAGCUUGUUGGCGGGGUAACGGCCCACCAAGGCAACGAUCAGUAGGGGUUCUGAGAGGAAGGUCCCCCACAUUGGAACUGAGACACGGUCCAAACUCCUACGGGAGGCAGCAGUGAGGAAUAUUGGUCAAUGGGCGAGAGCCUGAACCAGCCAAGUAGCGUGCAGGAUGACGGCCCUAUGGGUUGUAAACUGCUUUUGUAUGGGGAUAAAGUCAAUCACGUGUGAUUGUUUGCAGGUACCAUACGAAUAAGGACCGGCGAAUUCCGU